This 253-nucleotide ribosomal RNA is filed under the name uncultured bacterium. RNAcentral's name for it is "partial 16S ribosomal RNA". It matches the Rfam family "Bacterial small subunit ribosomal RNA", at positions 524 to 776 of the family's 1533-position model. The record is from RNAcentral.
UACAUAGGUCCCGAGCGUUGUUCGGAUUCACUGGGCGUAAAGGGUGUGUAGGCGGUUUGGUAAGUCAGGUGUGAAAUCCCGCAGCUUAACUGCGGAACUGCAUUCGAUACUGCCGAACUAGAGGCUUGGAGGGGGAAGCGGAAUUCUUGGUGUAGCGGUGAAAUGCGUAGAUAUCAAGAGGAACCCCGGUGGCGAAGGCGGCUUCCUGGACAAGGCCUGACUCUGAAACACGAAAGCUAGGGGAGCGAAUGGG